This 2459-nucleotide ribosomal RNA is filed under the name human gut metagenome. RNAcentral's name for it is "bacterial LSU rRNA". It matches the Rfam family "Bacterial large subunit ribosomal RNA", at positions 3 to 2487 of the family's 2925-position model. The record is from RNAcentral.
UUAAGUUAAUAAGGGCGCACGGUGGAUGCCUUGGCACUAGAAGCCGAUGAAGGACGUGACUAACGACGAAAUGCUUUGGGGAGCUGUAAGUGAGCAAUGAUCCAGAGAUGUCCGAAUGGGGGAACCCGGCAGGUAAUGCCUGUCACUCAUUACUGUUAAGGUAAUGUAGAGGAAGACGCAGUGAACUGAAACAUCUAAGUAGCUGUAGGAAGAGAAAGCAAAAGCGAUUGCCUUAGUAGCGGCGAGCGAAACGGCAAGAGGGCAAACCGAAGAGUUUACUCUUCGGGGUUGUAGGACUGCAACGUGGACUUAAAGAUUAUAGAAGAACUACCUGGGAAGGUAGGCCAAAGAGAGUAAUAGCCUCGUAUUCGAAAUAGUCUUUAUACCUAGCAGUAUCCUGAGUACGGCGAGACACGAGAAAUCUCGUCGGAAUCUGGGAGGACCAUCUCCCAACCCUAAAUACUCUCUAGUGACCGAUAGUGAACCAGUACCGUGAGGGAAAGGUGAAAAGCACCCCGGGAGGGGAGUGAAAUAGAACCUGAAACCGUGUGCCUACAACAAGUUCGAGCCCGUUAAUGGGUGAGAGCGUGCCUUUUGUAGAAUGAACCGGCGAGUUACGAUAUGAUGCGAGGUUAAGUUGAAGAGACGGAGCCGUAGGGAAACCGAGUCUUAAUAGGGCGCAUUAGUAUCAUGUCGUAGACCCGAAACCAUGUGACCUACCCAUGAGCAGGUUGAAGGUGAGGUAAAACUCACUGGAGGACCGAACCAGGGCACGUUGAAAAGUGCUUGGAUGACUUGUGGGUAGCGGAGAAAUUCCAAACGAACUUGGAGAUAGCUGGUUCUCUCCGAAAUAGCUUUAGGGCUAGCGUCGAUGUUAAGUCUCUUGGAGGUAGAGCACUGUUUGGGUGAGGGGUCCAUCCCGGAUUACCAAUCUCAGAUAAACUCCGAAUGCCAAUGAGAUAUAAUCGGCAGUCAGACUGCGAGUGCUAAGAUCCGUAGUCGAAAGGGAAACAGCCCAGACCACCAGCUAAGGUCCCAAAAUAUAUGUUAAGUGGAAAAGGAUGUGGGGUUGCACAGACAACUAGGAUGUUAGCUUAGAAGCAGCUAUUCAUUCAAAGAGUGCGUAAUAGCUCACUAGUCGAGUGACCCUGCGCCGAAAAUGUACCGGGGCUAAAACAUAUUACCGAAGCUGUGGAUACCUUUAUAGGUAUGGUAGGAGAGCGUUCUAUGUGCGAAGAAGGUGUACCGUGAGGAGUGCUGGAGCGCAUAGAAGUGAGAAUGCCGGUAUGAGUAGCGAAAGACAGGUGAGAAUCCUGUCCACCGUAAGACUAAGGUUUCCAGGGGAAGGCUCGUCCGCCCUGGGUUAGUCGGGACCUAAGGAGAGACCGAAAGGUGUAUCCGAUGGACAACAGGUUGAUAUUCCUGUACUAGAGUAUAUAGUGAUGGAGGGACGCAGUAGGCUAACUAAACCAGACGAUUGGAAGUGUCUGGCCAAGCAGUGAGGUGUGAUAUGAGUCAAAUGCUUAUAUCUUUAACAUUGAGCUGUGAUGGGGAGCGAAGUUUAGUAGCGAAGUUAGUGAUGUCACACUGCCGAGAAAAGCUUCUAGCGUUAAUUAUACUCUACCCGUACCGCAAACCGACACAGGUAGUCGAGGCGAGUAGCCUCAGGUGAGCGAGAGAACUCUCGUUAAGGAACUCGGCAAAAUGGCCCCGUAACUUCGGGAGAAGGGGCGCUGACUGAUGGUCAGCCGCAGUGAAUAGGCCCAAGCAACUGUUUAUCAAAAACACAGCUCUCUGCUAAAUCGUAAGAUGAUGUAUAGGGGGUGACGCCUGCCCGGUGCUGGAAGGUUAAGAGGAGUGCUUAGCGUAAGCGAAGGCAUGAAUUGAAGCCCCAGUAAACGGCGGCCGUAACUAUAACGGUCCUAAGGUAGCGAAAUUCCUUGUCGGGUAAGUUCCGACCCGCACGAAAGGCGUAAUGAUUUGGGCACUGUCUCAACGAGAGACUCGGUGAAAUUUUAGUACCUGUGAAGAUGCAGGUUACCCGCGACAGGACGGAAAGACCCCAUGGAGCUUUACUGCAGUUUGAUAUUGAGUAUCUGUACCACAUGUACAGGAUAGGUAGGAGCCUAUGACCUCGGGACGCCAGUUUCGAGUGAGGCGUUGUUGGGAUACUACCCUUGUGUUAUGGCUACUCUAACCCAGAUAGGUUAUCCCUAUCGGAGACAGUGUCUGACGGGCAGUUUGACUGGGGCGGUCGCCUCCUAAAAGGUAACGGAGGCGCCCAAAGGUUCCCUCAGAAUGGUUGGAAAUCAUUCGCAGAGUGUAAAGGUAUAAGGGAGCUUGACUGCGAGAGUUACAACUCGAGCAGGGACGAAAGUCGGGCUUAGUGAUCCGGUGGUUCCGUAUGGAAGGGCCAUCGCUCAACGGAUAAAAGCUACCCUGGGGAUAACAGGCUUAUC